RNAcentral lists this ribosomal RNA (541 nucleotides) under Xylodon detriticus. Its description in RNAcentral is "LSU rRNA". It matches the Rfam family "Eukaryotic large subunit ribosomal RNA", at positions 83 to 634 of the family's 3401-position model. The record is from RNAcentral. Lineage: Eukaryota; Fungi; Basidiomycota; Agaricomycetes; Hymenochaetales; Schizoporaceae.
GUACUGCGAGUGAAGCGGGAAAAGCUCAAAUUUAAAAUCUGGCAGUCUCACUGUCCGAGUUGUAAUCUGGAGAAGCAUUUUCUGUGUCGGACCGUGUACAAGUCUCUUGGAAUAGAGCGUCAUAGAGGGUGAGAAUCCCGUCCAUGACACGGACGCCCGAUACUUUGUGAUAUGCUCUCGAAGAGUCGAGUUGUUUGGGAAUGCAGCUCAAAAUGGGUGGUAAAUUCCAUCUAAAGCUAAAUAUUGGCGAGAGACCGAUAGCGAACAAGUACCGUGAGGGAAAGAUGAAAAGCACUUUGGAAAGAGAGUUAAACAGUACGUGAAAUUGUUGAAAGGGAAACGCUUGAAGUCAGUCGCGUUGUCUGAGACUCAGCCUUGCUUUUGCUUGGUGUACUUCUUAGUUAACGGGUCAACAUCAAUUUUGGUUGGUGGAUAAAGGCGUCGGGAAUGUGGCACCUUCGGGUGUGUUAUAGCCCUUCGUUGCAUACAUUGACUGGGAUUGAGGACUGCAGCACGCCGUCAUGGCCGGGGGUUCGCCCUA